GGGCCCUGGGUUUCUGAAACUAAAGAGUAUUCCACGGCCGCCUCAGGAUAUUCGUUGUAGGCGGCUAGGGACCAGCCGUAGCAAAUACCAACUCUGAUCCUGCCAUAGACUAGCAGAAGCUCGGGGGUUGAAAGCAAGAACUAAUUACUUUUGUAGGAACCGUUUACGAAAGCGUCAACGAGCAGAAAGUAUUUAGGUUCUUAAAGUGGAGACUGAUACUUUAUGCUUACGGGGGCUGACAGGGAUAAUUAGUAAUGAGGCUAGGGCUUCCGGUUGUGUUAUCCUGGCCUUAGGAUACUACAAUAGGGUACGAUUACAUAGGUCUCGCUACCGAACGAAACUCGUGAGAUUAAAGAAGUUUCAUUGCUACGGCCUUUGUGCUGGGCCGGUUAAUUCCGAUCCUCGCGCUACGGCCGGCUUCCCAGCUCAUCCAGCCACGAGCGGCACUCCGCCUGGCCGGCUGGGCCGGAUUCCAGGUUGAUGCUCGAAAAAUUGACGUUGUUGAAUUCAUAUGCGAUAACCUCGGCCUUAAUGGCGCCGACGACCGUGGUCUGAACGGGAGGUUACCUAGGAGCGAUUCCCUAAAUCUAACAUGAGUAAGGUUAAUGGUCUGUGAUUACGCGG
RNAcentral lists this ribosomal RNA (624 nucleotides) under Triticum aestivum (bread wheat). RNAcentral describes it as "partial small subunit ribosomal RNA". The record is from RNAcentral. Lineage: Eukaryota; Viridiplantae; Streptophyta; Magnoliopsida; Poales; Poaceae.